This 468-nucleotide ribosomal RNA is filed under the name uncultured bacterium. RNAcentral describes it as "partial 16S ribosomal RNA". It matches the Rfam family "Bacterial small subunit ribosomal RNA", at positions 28 to 507 of the family's 1533-position model. The record is from RNAcentral.
GACGAACGCUGGCGGCGUGCUUAACACAUGCAAGUCGAACGGAAAGGCCCUGCUUUUGUGGGGUGCUCGAGUGGCGAACGGGUGAGUAACACGUGAGUAACCUGCCCUUGACUUAGGGAUAACUUCAGGAAACUGGGGCUAAUACCGGAUAGGAGCUCCUGCUGCAUGGUGGGGGUUGGAAAGUUUCGGCGGUUGGGGAUGGACUCGCGGCUUAUCAGCUUGUCGGUGGGGUAGUGGCUUACCAAGGCUUUGACGGGUAGCCGGCCUGAGAGGGUGACCGGCCACAUUGGGACUGAGAUACGGCCCAGACUCCUACGGGGGGCAGCAGUGGGGAAUAUUGCACGAUGGGCGGGAGCCUGAUGCAGCAACGCCGCGUGUGGGAUAACGGGCUUCGGGGGUUAAACCGCUUUCGCCUGUGACGAAGCGAGAGUGACGGUAAUGGAUAAAGAAGCACCGGCUAACUACGUG